RNAcentral lists this ribosomal RNA (508 nucleotides) under uncultured bacterium. RNAcentral describes it as "partial 16S ribosomal RNA". It matches the Rfam family "Bacterial small subunit ribosomal RNA", at positions 355 to 883 of the family's 1533-position model. The record is from RNAcentral.
UGGGGAAUAUUGGACAAUGGGCGCAAGCCUGAUCCAGCCAUGCCGCGUGAGUGAUGAAGGCCUUAGGGUUGUAAAGCUCUUUCGACGGGGACGAUAAUGACGGUACCGUAGAAGAAGCCCCGGCUAACUUCGUGCCAGCAGCCGCGUAAUACGAAGGGGGCUAGCGUUGCUCGGAAUCACUGGGCGUAAAGGGCGCGUAGGCGGACGUUUAAGUCAGAGGUGAAAGCCCAGGGCUCAACCCUGGAAUGGCCUUUGAUACUGGACGUCUUGAGUCUGGUAGAGGUUGGUGGAACUGCGAGUGUAGAGGUGAAAUUCGUAGAUAUUCGCAAGAACACCGGUGGCGAAGGCGGCCAACUGGACCAGAACUGACGCUGAGGCGCGGAAGCGUGGGGAGCAAACAGGAUUAGAUACCCUGGUAGUCCACGCCGUAAACGAUGGAUGUUAGCCGUUGGCCGGUUUACCGGUCAGUGGCGCAGCUAACGCGUUAAGCAUCCCGCCUGGGGAGUAC